ACGUGUGUAGCUCAGUUGGCAGAGCAACAGACUUUUAAUCUGAAGGUCGUGGGUUCAAAUCCCAUCACACGUA
RNAcentral lists this transfer RNA (73 nucleotides) under Lachnospiraceae bacterium. Its description in RNAcentral is "tRNA-Lys". It matches the Rfam family "tRNA". Rfam says of the family: Transfer RNA (tRNA) molecules are approximately 80 nucleotides in length. The record is from RNAcentral. Lineage: Bacteria; Bacillati; Bacillota; Clostridia; Lachnospirales; Lachnospiraceae.